Molecule: long non-coding RNA, 278 nt
Filed under: Elaeis guineensis (African oil palm)
Lineage: Eukaryota; Viridiplantae; Streptophyta; Magnoliopsida; Arecales; Arecaceae
Description: long non-coding RNA (EGUI_LNC019181)
Source: RNAcentral
UCCUCUUCUUAUACAUAUUUGAUUAAUAAUUUAUUAAUUAUCCAAUUCUCAUUGCGUGUAUUAUAGGAGCAUUAAAGAUAUCAUACUUUGAUAAAAGAGAAGUGAGAAUAAAAUGGAUCAAGAAUAUAUCUGAUAUAAAAAUCUUAAUAUCAUUUAACUAUGCUAGCUAUCAUAUCCCUUAUCUCUAUGAUGUGCUUAGGUAUACCAAAUUUGUCUGUAUAUUUUGUGGACAUCAAUCUCAUCAUCAAAAUCUUGGCCUUUGCUUUAUUAGAGCCCAC